GACGAACGCUGGCGGCGUGCCUAAUACAUGCAAGUAGAACGCUGAAGGAGGAGCUUGCUUCUCUGGAUGAGUUGCGAACGGGUGAGUAACGCGUAGGUAACCUGCCUGGUAGCGGGGGAUAACUAUUGGAAACGAUAGCUAAUACCGCAUAAUAUUGACUAUUGCACGAUAGUCAGUUGAAAGGUGCAACUGCACCACUACCAGAUGGACCUGCGUUGUAUUAGCUAGUUGGUGGGGUAACGGCUCACCAAGGCGACGAUACAUAGCCGACCUGAGAGGGUGAUCGGCCACACUGGGACUGAGACACGGCCCAGACUCCUACGGGAGGCAGCAGUAGGGAAUCUUCGGCAAUGGACGGAAGUCUGACCGAGCAACGCCGCGUGAGUGAAGAAGGUUUUCGGAUCGUAAAGCUCUGUUGUAAGAGAAGAACGAGUGUGAGAGUGGAAAGCUCACACUGUGACGGUAUCUUACCAGAAAGGGACGGCUAACUACGUG
Molecule: ribosomal RNA, 495 nt
Filed under: uncultured bacterium
Lineage: Bacteria
Description: partial 16S ribosomal RNA
Rfam family: Bacterial small subunit ribosomal RNA
Source: RNAcentral